GUCUACGGCCACACCUAGGCGAAAACACCAGACCAGUUCCCGUCCGAUCACUGCAGCAUGUGAAAACGUUUGACGGCCUCGUUAGUUUCGUUCUAUGGUUGGAGACAACAUGAGAAUUCGGGGUGCGGUAGGCU
Molecule: ribosomal RNA, 134 nt
Filed under: Schizosaccharomyces octosporus yFS286
Lineage: Eukaryota; Fungi; Ascomycota; Schizosaccharomycetes; Schizosaccharomycetales; Schizosaccharomycetaceae
Source: RNAcentral